Molecule: microRNA precursor, 83 nt
Filed under: Olea europaea subsp. europaea
Lineage: Eukaryota; Viridiplantae; Streptophyta; Magnoliopsida; Lamiales; Oleaceae
Source: RNAcentral
CUUUUCUACGUGAUAUUUUUCAUGUCAAUCAAACACACUCUUAGAGUGUGUUUGAUUGACAUGGAAAAUAUUACCUAGAAAAG